RNAcentral lists this small RNA (839 nucleotides) under Pan troglodytes (chimpanzee). Its description in RNAcentral is "processed transcript". The record is from RNAcentral. Lineage: Eukaryota; Metazoa; Chordata; Mammalia; Primates; Hominidae.
GUCAGGCAGAUCUAGCCAGUUCUCUGUCUAAUGCUGUGCAAAUCGUUGGCAUGAGUGCUACCCUUCCUAAUUUGGAGCUUGUGGCUUCCUGGUUGAAUGCUGAACUCUACCAUACCGACUUUCGCCCUGUACCGCUUUUGGAGUCAGUAAAAGUUGGAAAUUCCAUAUAUGACUCUUCAAUGAAACUUGUGAGGGAAUUUGAGCCCAUGCUACAAGUGAAGGGAGAUGAGGACCAUGUUGUUAGUUUAUGUUAUGAGACGAUUCGUGAUAACCAUUCAGUAUUACUUUUUUGUCCAUCAAAGAAAUGGUGUGAGAAGCUGGCAGAUAUCAUUGCUCGAGAGUUUUAUAAUCUACAUCAUCAAGCUGAGGGAUUGGUGAAACCCUCUGAAUGCCCACCAGUAAUUCUGGAACAAAAAGAACUCCUGGAAGUGAUGGAUCAGUUAAGACGUUUGCCUUCAGGACUGGACUCUGUAUUACAGAAAACUGUACCAUGGGGAGUAGCAUUUCAUCAUGCAGAUUUCUUUUUAAGAAAUUGUGUGGGCUGGGCGUGGUGGCUCACUCCUGUAAUCCCAGCACUUUGGGAGGCCGAAGCAAGUGGAUCACCUGAGAUCAGGAGUUUAAGACCAGCCUGGCCAACAUGGCGAAACCCCAUCUCUACUAAAAAUACAAAAAUCAGCUGGGCGUUGUGGCACGCACCUGUAAUUCCAGCUUCUCAGGAGGCUGAGGCAGGGAGAAUUGCUUGAACCCAGGAGGCGGAGGUUACAGUGAGCCGAGAUCGUGCCACUGUACUCCAACCUGGGUGACAGAGCGAAAUUGUGUGAUAGAUUAAACAAGAGUAA